UCUCUGCUGGUCCAGUGGCUAAGAGUCUGUGCUCCCAAUGCAGAGGGCCCUGGUUCGAUCCCUGGCCAGAGAA
This 73-nucleotide transfer RNA is filed under the name Bos taurus (domestic cattle). It matches the Rfam family "tRNA". From Rfam's summary of the family: Transfer RNA (tRNA) molecules are approximately 80 nucleotides in length. Their secondary structure includes four short double-helical elements and three loops (D, anti-codon, and T loops). Further hydrogen bonds mediate the characteristic L-shaped molecular structure. tRNAs have two regions of fundamental functional importance: the anti-codon, which is responsible for specific mRNA codon recognition, and the 3' end, to which the tRNAs corresponding amino acid is attached (by aminoacyl-tRNA synthetases). tRNAs cope with the degeneracy of the genetic code in two manners: having more than one tRNA (with a specific anti-codon) for a particular amino acid; and 'wobble' base-pairing, i.e. permitting non-standard base-pairing at the 3rd anti-codon position. The record is from Rfam by way of RNAcentral. RNAcentral also lists the same sequence under 5 other names. Lineage: Eukaryota; Metazoa; Chordata; Mammalia; Artiodactyla; Bovidae.